This is an RNA transcript of Nematostella vectensis (starlet sea anemone), 2887 nucleotides long. It is a transcript of the gene named neuropeptide Y receptor type 2, with no coding region annotated. The record is from RefSeq and is a predicted model, not a curated record. NCBI's taxonomy places the organism in Eukaryota, Metazoa, Cnidaria, Anthozoa, Actiniaria, Edwardsiidae. The transcript is spliced from 9 exons.
CACAAGUCGUAAAACCAGCUCAGACGUGGCUGGAAAAUAGAACAAGUUUGUCGUCUUCUAACACGGUGUGGCUGCGAAUUCCUCCCCAAAGCAAAGUAGCAUACAAUUCGCACUUUGUUGGAUCUAAAGUUGUGCAUCUGGAUUCAUAAAAGGAAGGAGGAAGUGUUCUGAUCUGGAGAUAAGACGGUGCGGACAUAAGUCUGCGUGUGGUGGAAGGCAAGGAGAGGAGCAGAACUCACUUUGAGGAAUAACGCGUAAUGGAUCAACCUACGAAUCAGACGUUCGUGGCACCUCAAGAUGACAUUACCGAACCUUUAGGGAUGAGGAUCGUUCGGCUGGCCAUUUACAUUAUUAUAUUUCUGAUUGCAACGAUUGGAAACUCACUGGUCAUCUUUGUGGUCUACAAAACAAGAGAGCUGCAUACGGUGACGGGUUACCUCAUUGCCAAUCUGGCAAUUGCGGACCUUGGCGUGGGACUCCUGUGUAUUCCGUUUACUGUCGUCUUCUAUGAGCUCAACUUUGUUUGGCCCUUUGGGGCCUUCAUGUGCAAGAUGAUUUGCUUGCAGCCGCUUUUCCUGAUGGCAUCGGUAGCCACACUCAUGGCCAUAUCUAUAGAUCGCCAUCAAUCCAUCGUAUACCCAUUCAACCCACGCAUCUCUCUGACCCAAGGCAAGCUCAUCAUCGCGUUAGUCUGGCUGAUUGGCAUGUUACCAGCCUUUCCCAUGUUAGGAGUUUUGGAACUAGUAGAAACACCACGCGGGCCCACCUGUACUGAAACUUGGCCAGACAUGGAUUUUGGGGCGACUAUCAACAGCAAGCUUAGCUUCGCGUAUACCAUCGCUUCUUUCGUGCUCACAUACGCGGUGCCUUUGCCGCUGAUCAUCAUACUCUACAUCAGAAUAGCGCUCAAGCUCAGAGAGGCUAUCAAGGAUGCCGCCGACCGGCCAGGCUUCCAGGCGGCUCAGCAGACGCGCAAGAUUAUAAAAAUGCUGGUUGCUGUGGUUGUUUGCUACGCGCUGUGCUACCUUCCAUUCCAUGGCAUGGUCUUUCUAAACUACAGCCAGGUAGUAGAAAACACGCCGAUAGUAUAUCUGAUCCAGUCUUACUGCCAAGUGAUCAUGUAUUUCAACAGUGCCUCAAAUCCAAUUCUCUACGCUUUUCUCGGGGAUCAGUUCCGAAACGGCUUCAAAAAAGCAAUCGGCUGCAAGAUUGGCCAAAAGAUGCAUAGUACAGCUGUCGUAUUUAAUGCAUGAGCCACGUCAGCGAGUAUGUGUUGUGACGUCAUGGCGCGUUGGACGUCAUUGUGACAUAAUGGCGUUUAACCCUAACACCAUAACGUGUCGUUGCCAUCACCGAACACUAAGCUUGAAUACGUCAAAUCUACUACAAGUUGAUGGUGACGACAUGAAUUGCCACAUCCUUCUUCGCCUAUCCCACAUGGAUAAAGAUGUCACAACACAUGACCCGCACAUAACAGCACUAAGGACAAUUUGAAACCGGCAUUCUUUGCAGUCAUUGCAUAACAGUAGCCAAUAGGCUUUUAUUACUGGGGAACACGAGGCACAAAGAAUACUCUAGACAAUUGAAACCUGCAUUUUUGCAGACAGUGGAACAGAAGUGAAAUGACAACUAUAAUAAUUAUACUUGCGUUGAAAAGCAAAGUUCAAGAACACGAAGCAGACAACCUGCAAGUAAGCGUUCCCGUUGAAGGCGAAAGAGAAAAAUCGGGCGACCACGUGCCUCGAAAGGAGGAAAAAGAACACUACCCAUAUCUUAAAUGUGCUACUGCCCUCUUUUCCUUAAACUGCUAGUAUACUAUUGUAUAAAUCCCCUUGAAAUAUUACUUGAGUAACAGUAAAAACCCGCCUGUAAGAACCUGGUGAUUUAAGAACCUAUAGGCAGAAAUUUUGGAUUUUAAUAACCCAAAAUAUAAGAACCUGUGUAACAGAACUUACUAAGCCAAACAAUUCAAAAGGUUCUUUUAUGAUGGGUUACUCCAUGAAAAUGGAACAAAUAAAGGGGCUUUAAGAUAUAAAUCUGCUAAACAUUUUGCUGGUCCAUUAAAAUAUGAUUACAGAUAGAACAUACAUACGCUAGGAUAUCUCUAUAGCAAAAUGGCUAAGUAUUUAGUCUCACUUCAGUAUUAUGACAAUCCUACUUACUGCAACUUUGAAAAAAAUAAGAACCUAAUAAGAACCUAUUUUGUCUUAAUUGUUACUAAGUACACCAAAAUAUAAGAACAAGUUUUGCCAAAGUUGAAAAAACUAGGGUUUUCUCACACGCGGGUUUUUACUGUACCCAAAAUUUAUUGUAAGAUCGUAAGGCUUUACGCAUACCACAUUUUAAGUAAUAACAUUUCUUAGUUCCCUGGUGGGGGAGACUAAGUAUUUAAGUGGGUCUGAACAGACUUAUCAAACAUACCUUACUGAGCCAUACAAUUCUCAAACUUUGCUCUUUUUUAUUCAUUACAAACAAAGAAUAAACAUAGAGAUAAGAAAUGCUAAUUAAUAAGCAUUGGUCAAAAUGCCUGACAUGUUUAUUUUGCUUUUUGGUAAUAGAACUUAAAUUACUUUUAUUUGGGAAUAUACUUUUUAGAGUCUUAAAAGGAUAGGGUAUAAUAGAAGGACGUUUAUCACACAAGACUUAUUACCGCAGCUCUUUGAUAGAACUAGUGCUUCAGUGGUUACACCUUGUUGUUACUUGCUUGUAUAUAAAGCAUAUCACUUAUUGUAGAUAUAACUAAAAUAAAUUCUAUAGAAUGUAAAUAAUCGUUCAAAAAGCUAUAGGCGGAAAGACAGCACGGUUUGGAAAAUAGUACGUCCGGGAAGAUAAUACGAUUUCUCUGAUUGGUCAAGUAAUAGUGUGCAAUAAAGAAAUACAAAUUCAA